This is a non-coding RNA of Zootoca vivipara (common lizard), 76 nucleotides long. NCBI's taxonomy places the organism in Eukaryota, Metazoa, Chordata, Lepidosauria, Squamata, Lacertidae. The record is from RefSeq and is a predicted model, not a curated record.
CAAAUAAUCAUCUCAUAUCUUUAUUGGGAUGCAGCAGUUACAACUUAAUGGACAAAUUUAAUGGAGACCUUCGCCU